This 709-nucleotide ribosomal RNA is filed under the name uncultured bacterium. Its description in RNAcentral is "bacterial SSU rRNA". It matches the Rfam family "Bacterial small subunit ribosomal RNA", at positions 59 to 773 of the family's 1533-position model. The record is from RNAcentral.
AACGAAGCACUUUAACCUGAUUCUUCGGAUGAAGGUUUUUGUGACUGAGUGGCGGACGGGUGAGUAACGCGUGGGUAACCUGCCUCAUACAGGGGGAUAACAGUUAGAAAUGACUGCUAAUACCGCAUAAGACCACGGAGCCGCAUGGCUCAGUGGGAAAAACUCCGGUGGUAUGAGAUGGACCCGCGUCUGAUUAGGUAGUUGGUGGGGUAACGGCCUACCAAGCCAACGAUCAGUAGCCGACCUGAGAGGGUGACCGGCCACAUUGGGACUGAGACACGGCCCAAACUCCUACGGGAGGCAGCAGUGGGGAAUAUUGCACAAUGGGGGAAACCCUGAUGCAGCGACGCCGCGUGAGCGAAGAAGUAUUUCGGUAUGUAAAGCUCUAUCAGCAGGGAAGAAAAUGACGGUACCUGACUAAGAAGCACCGGCUAAAUACGUGCCAGCAGCCGCGGUAAUACGUAUGGUGCAAGCGUUAUCCGGAUUUACUGGGUGUAAAGGGAGCGUAGACGGCUGUGUAAGUCUGAAGUGAAAGCCCGGGGCUCAACCCCGGGACUGCUUUGGAAACUAUGCAGCUAGAGUGUCGGAGAGGUAAGUGGAAUUCCCAGUGUAGCGGUGAAAUGCGUAGAUAUUGGGAGGAACACCAGUGGCGAAGGCGGCUUACUGGACGAUGACUGGACGUUGAGGCUCGAAAGCGUGGGGAGCAAAC